GAUGAACGCUGGCGGCGUGCCUAAUACAUGCAAGUCGAGCGAACGGACGAGAAGCUUGCUUCUCUGAUGUUAGCGGCGGACGGGUGAGUAACACGUGGAUAACCUACCUAUAAGACUGGGAUAACUUCGGGAAACCGGAGCUAAUACCGGAUAAUAUUUUGAACCGCAUGGUUCAAAAGUGAUAGACGGUCUUGCUGUCACUUAUAGAUGGAUCCGCGCUGCAUUAGCUAGUUGGUAAGGUAACGGCUUACCAAGGCAACGAUGCAUAGCCGACCUGAGAGGGUGAUCGGCCACACUGGAACUGAGACACGGUCCAGACUCCUACGGGAGGCAGCAGUAGGGAAUCUUCCGCAAUGGGCGAAAGCCUGACGGAGCAACGCCGCGUGAGUGAUGAAGGUCUUCAGAUCGUAAAACUCUGUUAUUAGGGAAGAACAUAUGUGUAAGUAACUGUGCACAUCUUGACGGUACCUAAUCAGAAAGCCACGGCUAACUACGUG
This 497-nucleotide ribosomal RNA is filed under the name uncultured bacterium. RNAcentral's name for it is "partial 16S ribosomal RNA". It matches the Rfam family "Bacterial small subunit ribosomal RNA", at positions 28 to 507 of the family's 1533-position model. The record is from RNAcentral.